UUGCUCUUAGCCUUUACCUUACUGUGUACAAAGGAAACGUAUGCCUAUACACUCACACAUUUAUCUGUUAUCUUGACAAACGAUAGCGAUGACGACUACGGCGAUGUAGUACCUAGGUCAGUUAUUGUCAUUUCUUACUAUCCCGUGAUCAGACAAAUAUUGCUAUCCUUGUCUCCUUUCUAACCGGCAUGCAGCGCACGCAUAAAACGCGUGAGCGACCGCGUCACCGGUAACAUCUUGACAAGCGAUAGCAAACCGGUAUUUAUUACGUCCCUUACUAUCCCAGGAUCACACAAAUAGUGCUAUCCUUGUUUAUGUGAACGCCGCCCCCGGUGAAGUUGGGAUUAGUUUUUUGCAUGUUUUGUUUGUUAAUUUGUUCACAGUUUAGUGCAAACCAUGGCCACGAUUGGUAUUAUUGUUGUUUGUUAAAAUAUUGUGAGUGCUCUAAAAAUGCAAGCAAAUGAAUAUUCAAGAUAUUAUAUUCUAAAAGAUAUUAGUGGAUGCAGAUAAGAGUGUUUAGUGAGUGCUAUGUUUGAAUAUUGCAAGUGAAAACACAGCCUAUCGAUGUAAUGCGCCGAUAAACAAUCAUGACUGCAUUGAUGUAAUGCGCUAAAAAACUGCAAUGGCUCCGAAUACAUGAUUACCAGAU
Molecule: non-coding RNA, 649 nt
Organism: Plutella xylostella (diamondback moth)
Lineage: Eukaryota; Metazoa; Arthropoda; Insecta; Lepidoptera; Plutellidae
Source: RefSeq, a predicted model, not a curated record